Molecule: ribosomal RNA, 465 nt
Filed under: uncultured Methanomicrobiales archaeon
Lineage: Archaea; Methanobacteriati; Methanobacteriota; Methanomicrobia; Methanomicrobiales
Description: bacterial SSU rRNA
Rfam family: Archaeal small subunit ribosomal RNA
Source: RNAcentral
AGCACCACAACAGGUGGAGCCUGCGGUUUAAUCGGACUCAAACGCCGGGAAACUCACCAGAUAAGACAGCUGAAUGAUAGUCGGGCUGAAGACUCUACUUGACUAGCUGAGAGGAGGUGCAUGGCCGUCGUCAGUUCGUAUUGUGAAGCAUCCUGUUAAGUCAGGCAACGAGCGAGACCCACGCCAACAGUUGCCAGCUCGUCCUCCGGGAUGGUGGGGACACUGUUGGGACCGCCUCUGCUAAAGAGGAGGAAGGAAUGGGCAACGGUAGGUCAGCAUGCCCCGAAUUAUCUGGGCUACACGCGGGCUACAAUGGGUGGGACAAUGGGUAUCGACACCGAAAGGUGAAGGCAAUCUCCUAAACCCAUCCGUAGUUCGGAUUGUGGGCUGCAACUCGCCCACAUGAAGCUGGAAUCUGUAGUAAUCGUGUCUCAAAAUGGCACGGUGAAUAUGUCCCUGCUCCUU